GACAGAGGAGGCAAGCGGUGUUCGGAAUCAUUGGGCUUAAAGGGCGUGCAGGCGGGCGCGUAAGUGUCCUGUGAAAUCCCACGGCUCAACCGUGGAACUGCGGGGCAAACUGCGUGGCUUGAGGUCGGUAGAGGUGCUUGGAACUCUAGGUGGAGCGGUGAAAUGCGUAGAUAUCUAGAGGAACGCCAGGAGCGAAAGCGGUGCACUGGGCCGAUUCUGACGCUGAGACGCGAAAGCGUGGGGAGCAAACAGG
Molecule: ribosomal RNA, 253 nt
Filed under: uncultured bacterium
Lineage: Bacteria
Description: partial 16S ribosomal RNA
Rfam family: Bacterial small subunit ribosomal RNA
Source: RNAcentral